GACGAACGCUGGCGGCGUGCUUAACACAUGCAAGUCGAACGGAAAGGCCCUGCUUGCAGGGUGCUCGAGUGGCGAACGGGUGAGUAACACGUGGGUGAUCUGCCCCUUAUUUUGGGAUAAGCCUGGGAAACUGGGUCUAAUACUGGAUAGGACCAUGCUGUAGGUGGUGUGGUGGAAAGAUUAGUUUCGGUAAGGGAUGAGCUCGCGGCCUAUCAGCUUGUUGGUGGGGUAAUGGCCUACCAAGGCGUCGACGGGUAGCCGGCCUGAGAGGGUGGACGGCCACAUUGGGACUGAGAUACGGCCCAGACUCCUACGGGAGGCAGCAGUGGGGAAUAGUGCACAAUGGGCGCAAGCCUGAUGCAGCGACGCCGCGUGGGGGAUGACGGCCUUCGGGUUGUAAACUCCUUGCAGCCAUGACGAAGCCCUUGUGGUGACGGUAGUGGUAGAAGAAGCACCGGCUAACUACGUG
This 469-nucleotide ribosomal RNA is filed under the name uncultured bacterium. Its description in RNAcentral is "partial 16S ribosomal RNA". It matches the Rfam family "Bacterial small subunit ribosomal RNA", at positions 28 to 507 of the family's 1533-position model. The record is from RNAcentral.